Molecule: long non-coding RNA, 1497 nt
Organism: Numida meleagris (helmeted guineafowl)
Lineage: Eukaryota; Metazoa; Chordata; Aves; Galliformes; Numididae
Exons: 5
Source: RefSeq, a predicted model, not a curated record
CCCCCCCCCCCCGCACCCUCCUUUAAGGGCAGGCAGCCGAAGGGGAAGCAUUUCUACCUGGAAGCUGCUUCCUUUGUUGUGUUGGGUGAGCCCUGAUUCUUGGAAAAGGGCUAAGUUGGUGUAUGAGAACUGCUGAGUCACGGCCUGAACCACUGAUUGAGCACCUGGAGGAAAGACCCAGUCAGCCUGGGGAGCACAGGUGAAGGCAAUUCAUCUGUGUGAUGGGGAAGGGGUGGGGCCUGUCUUCACCCCUCUUCAGCCUCAUUUAAGGGCUGAUUGCCACUGAGGAAGGAUCUCUUUCUAGAGAUAGCUCCUUGGUGGAAGGUUUUCCCUGUGAACCCAGAAUCUUCUGAUACAGCUGUGGGACCUGACAGCUUGAGGAAUUGAGGCCCCUGGUCCGCUGCAUACUGGGACUGGCACAAAGAAGCUCUGUGCCUAGAACAUCCUGGGGAUUGUACGAACAGGUGCACUUGAGCCCCAGGUGCCUUGCCAUGCUGCUGCCGGUGGCAGCAGAGAACUGCAGUGCUUCUAGGCAGUGCAAGAACUGCACAGAGCCAUUUGUGGCUUUUCAUGAAGUCAGCAAGAAAUGAAAAGCUGGAUUUCUUGGAAUGCCCAGGAACCUAACUUUGCUGACUGGUAACUCGUUACCUGUGCGGGAAAGGGCAAUGUACAUCCACCAAUGUCUACUCAGUACAAUGAGUACUAGGCACAACCUAGUACUCCCAGUGCUUGUUACUGUGCUUUAGGGUAUCCUACAGGCUGCCUUUCCUUCUCCUACAUUCUCCUUGUCUCUGGCCUUUCCCUGCAGUGUUCUCCUUGCCUUUGCCUUGGCUUUCUCUGGCUAUUAUUGUUGCCCUCGCCUGGGGCUGCCUUGCGGCAUUCUCCUUGGCUUUGGCCUUGCCCUUGCCUGGGCCUUCUGUGUGGCAUUAUUCCAGCCAUUGCCUUAGUUUCGGUUUUCCCUUGGGCAUUCUAAUUGCCUUUCUUUCUGCUUUUUCCUUCCCUCGCUGUUCUCCUUGCCUUUGCCUUGCUGUUCCCUUGGGUUUUCUGCUUGACUUUGCUUCACUGGGAUUGAGAGGCAGCAUUAAUGUUGAUCUUGACCUCAACCCCAAGCUUAAUGGGAGCUCUAAAGAUAAUUACAUUAACGCACAAUGUGACUUUAAACCUAACCCUUAACCCAAUGCUGAAAAUGUCUCUAAUGCUCAAUGUAGCAAUAAAAACAAUGCCUGGAGAUUUCUAAGUAACCUUAAGCCUAAUUGUAAUGUAAAAAAAAAAAUUGUUGAACUAACUGUAACCUUAAUCCUAUAACUAGCUUAAAUUAUAACCCUAAUGCUGCUCAUCAUCAUUUUUAUAUCCUUAACGUAAAAAUCCACUAAAACUAAUCCAGAAAAAUACCGUAACAUAAAGAGUUACCUCAAUCCUAAAGAUAACCCAAGCCUCUACACUAAUAUAGCACUUAGUGUAAUUUUCCUCUUAAUUAAAUGUUUCUAUAUUUCUAAA